UCUACAUUGAUUUUCCUUCCAACAGAAUUUACUUCAAAUUCAAUAGGUUAGACCUGUUGAGCCAAUAUCACUAUGAGUAGGAAUUAACUCUAUCAACCUCCAAAUCCUUCUUCACCAAAAUCCUUAAUGUCUAUGAUCAAUGCUACACAUAAUAACUCACAUAAGCAUCUCAAAAUCAAAAUUUCUACUCAAUAUUGUAUUUUACAAUGACAAAGAUUUCUGGUUAGAUCAUAAACCUAGACUUGAGUUCAAGUUAACACAUCCAAUAAUCUCCAACAAUUAUAAGAAAAAUUCAGGAGCCCAAUCCAAAUAUACAAAUUCAAAUAAUUAGAAUACUCCACCAAUUUGCAUACU
This 354-nucleotide long non-coding RNA is filed under the name Phoenix dactylifera (date palm). RNAcentral's name for it is "long non-coding RNA (PDAC_LNC013265)". The record is from RNAcentral. Lineage: Eukaryota; Viridiplantae; Streptophyta; Magnoliopsida; Arecales; Arecaceae.